This 254-nucleotide ribosomal RNA is filed under the name uncultured Eubacteriales bacterium. RNAcentral describes it as "uncultured Clostridiales bacterium partial 16S ribosomal RNA". It matches the Rfam family "Bacterial small subunit ribosomal RNA", at positions 524 to 776 of the family's 1533-position model. Lineage: Bacteria; Bacillati; Bacillota; Clostridia; Eubacteriales. The record is from RNAcentral.
UACGUAGGGGGGCAAGCGUUAUCCGGAUUUACUGGGUGUAAAGGGAGUGUAGGUGGCCUGGCAAGCCAGAUGUGAAAGCCCGCGGCUCAACUGCGGGACUGCAUUUGGAACUGUUAGGCUUGAGUGCAGGAGAGGAAAGUGGAAUUCCUAGUGUAGCGGUGAAAUGCUUAGAUAUUAGGAGGAACACCAGUGGCGAAGGCGGCUUUCUGGACUGUAACUGACACUGAGGCUCGAAAGCGUGGGGAGCAAACAGG